UCAGGGUCCAGGAGGGGAAGAGGAGCGCCUGUGUUUUAGGAGCAGGGGCCUGGUUCGGCAGUGUGAGUGAGACCCAUGGUUCCCAUUGUACAGAUGGGAAGACUGAGACCUCGGAAGGCACCUACUCAAGAAGCGGGAAGCCCAUUCAUUCCAGGUGGGCCCAGGGAAGGUGGGGACAUACGGACACGUCAGGCAGAGUGGGAUGGUGAUGGGGCGUCCAUCGGGGGACAGGCACAGGCCCCAGGCCUCCCACCUCAGUGCUUAUGUUUUCUAGACCUUUGAGUGAGUGGAAGGCAGUUUCAGUGCUUGGGCUGGGGAUGAGCUGUGCUCUUGGCACAGAGUUCUUAAAUUCUCUUUGCUUUAGGGUUUGGGCUGCUGGGGAGAGCUCCUCGUGCCUCCCGGUGAGGCGGAAGUGGGAGAGCCUCGGCACACAGUGGAAACACACCUGGAUUUUUAGGCCCAUGCCUGCUGCGUGGCGUUGGGCAAGCCCCCUAGUAUCCGGGGGGACUCAGUUUCCUCAUCCGUACAAUGGGAUUCCCAGUCCCGGCUCCCUCAGCCUGUUCCCCAAAUGAGGGGAGGCUCGAAUGGGAUGGCAUGCUCUGGGAGGUGUGCAGUGUGUCACAAGCACGGCCACAGGUGACAGGGGUCAGCAGAGGAAAGCCUUGAGGUUAGAGCUGAUAGAGGGAUAGACAGAUGGAGAGAGAAGCCUGGAGAGAUCAAAGAAUCCCAGAGACAGAGAGAGAGGGAGAGACAAAGAGCGAUCACACAGAAACAAAGAGAGAGGGACAGAGAUGGAGAUGGGCAGGAGGUGUAGACCCAGGAAAAAAGAGUCAGGCAAACUGCGUCAGGCUGUGACUUCCUGGAGCCCCGAUGGUGUUUUCCUGGCCAGCGGACAGCGUGGCAGGCUGGGGGCUGCCCUUUAGCCUGGACUCUCUCUCCAUCCAGGCCAAGAAGUUCCCCGGGCUUCUCUCUGGCCUGGAGGUUCCCGCCUGGUCACCCUCUGCUUUUCUGUCGCACAGGGAAGACUGAGCUGGCUGCCAGCCCCGUCCUCCCCCAUCCCCCAGCGCCCGGGACCGGCUGGUGCUCAUUGCUGCUACACUCGGGUCUCCCGCUCCAGGAGCAGCCACGGCAGGUCCCCAAGGGCCUGGAGACAACAAAUGACUCCCCGCUGACGGGUUGCUCGCUGCCUCCUGCCUGCGAGCCCGUUCGGCUGCACACCGCACGCAGAUAAUCAUUGGUAUAUCCAGCUGGCGGAUGCAGAAGGAGGAAGAGGAGAAAGAUGAGAUGUUGGCCAGCCCUGAAGAGUGGGUGUCCUACCUGGCGAGAGAGCACAAGACACUGAUUGCUAAAGAGAGAGAGACAGAGCACGAGCAGGGGAGGAGCACAGGGAGAGGGAGACACUGAAUCCGAAGCGGGCUCCAGGCUCCGAGCUGUCAGCACGGAGCCCGACGUGGGGGCUUGAACUCACAAAUCGCGAGAUCACGACCUGAGCCGACAUCGGAUGUUUAACUGACUGAGCCACCCAGGCAGUAAAGGACUUUCCGUCCCCGGAGGCCUUGAGCAGAGCCAGGCUCCAGCCUCUGGUCUCUAGUAACCAUCCAGGAUUCGUGAAGACCGUCUGGGAGACACCUUCAAGGAUGUGUGAAGCCUGGAGCUCUCUCAGCUGGGAGCUGGGCCCUCGGUGGUCAGCCAGAGAGGACACCCUUGAAUGGUCAGAUCGAUCCCCUCUUUGGAGGGACACUGGGGAAGGCUGUGGCCCAGGCGCGCUGCCCGCCAGGCUUCCCGUGGGUGGCGGGUGUAACUUUUCUUCCUGGUUCUCUCUGAGCCGCCAGCUCUGCUCCCCCAGCCCCGAGUGGCGGCUCCUUGGGCCGGAAACAAUGUGCUUUCUCCACGCCUGGGAGUGGAAGUCAGCAGUUUGGCACCGUCUGGCUGGCAGCCUCCACCGGCUUCCUUUGGCACUUUAUUGGCAAAGGCGGUGACAUUUCUUUCAGUUGGGUGGGUGGAGCUGUUAUGCAGACUCUCGCUCUCCUCAUUCGCCAGAUGAAUAUUCAUGACUCAGGCAAUCUGUACCAGCCAGACUUUCCUGAGGGCGGCAGCUUUUCUUCUCUUCCUCUCUCUCUUUUUCUUUCUCCUUCUCUCCUUCCCAGCUCUUUGGAAAGCUGGAGUACAGCUAUAUUUAAUUUACAAAUACGGAGCUAUUUAGCUUGCCUUUUGGGGUGCAGGCACUGGGGAGGAGAUGCCGGGGAUGGGAACAGUGGAAGCAUUUGGUCCCUGACCCUGGGCUUCCUGGUCCCAGUGUCCAGCCCCCAGGCCCCACAGCCUGGGAAGCCUUAUGGAUCCGGGGCUCCCUUUGAACUUGGCAUCUUGGUGCCUGCAUGCCUGAAGGUGCGGCAGCUCUGUGCCACCUCGUUCCGUGCUGGCUGCCGAGGUCAACGUGGACGUCUGAGACACUGGUGCCUUCCUGCCCAGUGCAUGGCAGACCCCAGCGAUAGAUGAACGCUCCCUCGGUCUCCCUACUGUGCUCUCCCGCUUGUCAAGGCCCACUCAGACCCUGCUUCAAGCCCUAGACAAAACCCCAGAAGGCACUGGGGCAUUUGCUAGUCAUUUCUUUCCUAGAGGAAGAACCAGUCCCUACUUGGGGUCCCCGUUCUCUGGGGAUACACCUGCUCCUUCCCUGGGAAGGGUGGCUACCUACUUUCUUUUGUCUCUUCCCCUAGAGGCACCAGAAACUCUGGCAAAGGGUUCAGAAUUUCCAGAAUUUGCCAGGGAAUUUGGUCUUAGCAAGGAUGUUCUCGUGUAUGUCUUGUGUGUGUGUGUGCGCGCGCGUGUGUGUGUGUGUAUGUAAAUAUUUACGCACAGCUUAAGUGAGUCUGUAUGCCUACAUCUAUGUUCGAGUGUUUGAGUGUGUGUCUGUAUGUGUAAGGGCGUGAAUGUGUAUGUGGCGGGAAGUCUGGGAAUGUCUGCAUGUGCGAAUGCGCCUCUCCAGUUAGAGUUGCGUAUGUAUCGUUGUGGGUCUGGGGUGUUGUGUGUCAAGGUGCUCCUGGGGGGGGGUGCAGAGGCUCGUCUGUGUAGUGUGUAUGUGUGCAUGUGCUAGUGAACUGUAAGAUGUGUGUACAAGUGUAUGUGUGCAUGAGAGUCUGGAGGAGAGAGAGAGAGAAAGAGAGAGAGAGGGAGAGAAUGAUUCCCCCUGACCUCCAUUCUCUCCCAAACCUCAUCCUCUAGCGAGGUGGAGGGAGAUGUCCCCCCCCCCCCCCCCACUUUGCAAGUGUUACAGAUUCUAUCCAAGGACGGGAACAGAAGGCUUCCCAGCACAGAGCGUCCUGAAAUUACUUUAUAUUCCCCCCUCCUUGUUUCAUCUAAUCAAAAUAGCGUUAGGCUCACCCAUUCUCCCUGCCCAUCCACUUAGCCCCGAGGGAGGGAGCGAAGCGGGCCAUCUUGUCUGACCUCCUCUGAGAGCACCUUGCAGCCCCAAGCCAAGGAGCUGUCUUCCAAAUCUCCUCGUUCCACGGCCCAUGCUUCAGUGGCAAGAGCCAGCUGCCUCCCUGCCUGCCAGCAACCGCCAAGCUCUUCCAGAACCCACAUCCAGGCUCAGCCUCAUUUACAAAUAUGCAAAUUUGCAUCUUUUCUGGUAUGCAAAUGGAGACAUGACAAAUAGCUAAUUAGGGUCAAAAGAAGCACUCUGAACCAAUUAGUUGUAGGGUCGAUUCCUUUCUGCUGGGAGGAGACUGGCCUCUCCUGCCCCCCUCCAUCCCUGGCUCCCCCAGGCCCACACACUCUGGCCUGUCCCGUCUGGCUGGGGCCAUGGACGGUCAAAGAGCACUGAAACAGGGGUUGUUGCUUGAAUCACAGUCCCACUCUGGGUGUUAGCUGUGUGACCCUGGACACACUCACCGGGACCUCAGUGUCUCCCUCUGUGAAACAGCAAUGGCAGUGGCUGUCUUGCCCCUAAACCUCCACCCCAGUGUCGUGAGACUUUGGGGGGACUUGGAUGGCAAUAGCCUCUGGAAACUGUACUAAAAUGCCUCUGAUAGGCGCAUCACUUGUGUUCUUCCAAAGUAUUCUGCCCUUGAUUUCAUGUAAUCGUCACAUCCACCCUCUGAAUUAGAUGAAUUAGAUGUAGCGACAGCGUGGCAGUGAGUUUCAUCCUGGGUGCCAACUCUGGCCAAUUACGAUUGUCUGCCUGGAGCGGUGCGUUGAGAAGGAUGUCGAGGCCAAGUCUGGAUUCCCCAGGAGAGAGAGACUGUGAUCGAUUAAUGAUGUCUGCCACGGGCAAGUCAUUGGGCUCUGGCAGUCACGUGCUACAUAUUUACCGCCCAGGAAAGCUGUGGAGUUGGGAGCAGGCACCCGGGUUCCGGUCCUGUCUGCUCCCUUGAGUAAGUGACGUCCCCUUCCGGAGCUCCGCUACCUGGUCUAACCCAGGCACAAUACAGCCUGGGUCUCAGAGCUAUUGUGAGGAGGCAAAAGCUUUCUUUCAUCCGGGAGGUGAUGUGGACACUUAAUUGACACUUCAGUGGGACGGGCGUGCUGUCCCAUUACAGAGGCGGGGAGCCCGAGGCCUGCGGAGGGUGGAUGACUCGGAGAAGAGGAAGCCAGCAGCCUUACCAGGCAGGCCCGCACGGGCGGCUGGGGCUGCUCUUCUCUCUGCCACCACAGGAUCUUGGCUCCCUCCUGCCUCCCCCGCGCUGAUGCCCCAAGCAGGCUGCAACAAGCCCCGCUGGCCUGGCUCCACUUCUGGGUGUGAAGUUUGGCUGAGUCGGCACCUGGGAGAAUGGGGCGAUUGCCAUCCUGGAGGCCAGGGCCUGGCCCAGGGCCAGUGGGCGGACGAGAGAUGGUGGGAGGGCCCGAGGACCAGGGAGCCAGCCAGAGCUGGGCGGCUGGCAGGAGAAGGUCAGGAGAGCACCUGGCUUGAAGGGGGCCGGCUUGGGGGUGCUGAGAGCCGGGGCCUGAGUGCAGCACAGAGCCCAGCUGUGUGCGUGUCCUGGCUGUUGGCAGUGCCCAAGCACGGCCUUGAACGUGCCUUUGUGCGUGUGCAUGCGUCUCGGGAUACAUCUGCGAACGUUUGUUCUUAUAAAUCUUUUAAUGUGUAUUUAUUUUUGAGAGAGAAAGAGGGAGAGAGAGACAGAGACAGAGCGUGAGUGGGAAGGGGCAGAGAGAGAGGGAGACACAGAAUCCGAAGCAGGCUCCAGGCUCUGAGCCGUCAGCACAGAGCCCGACGCGGGGCUCGAACUCAUGAACUGCGAGAUCGUGACCUGAGCUGAAGUCAGCUGCUCCACCGACUGAGCCACCCAGGCGCCCUGCGUGUGUUCUUAUAAAUGGGCAUAGAUGCAUCACCUAGCAGUGUAAGAAUAGGCGUGAUCUAUGUAGUUGUGCACAUCUGUGCAUCAAGGUGUGUCCGUGUGUCUGCGUGGACCUGUGUGUGCAUGCCUGGCCUGCACCUCUGUGUCCAGGUGAGCUUCUUGCAUGUACACGUCAGCAUCCGUGUGUGUCUGUCUGUAUGUUUCUACCCGAAUGUGUGGGUGUCCAUUUGUAUGUAUCUUUCAGUAUCCGUACAGGCGUGUGCACACUGGUGCGUCCGUAUUGGUGCACGCGUGCCCACCUCCGUCAGUAUCCAUGGGCAUCGCUGUUCAGCGUGUGUGUCCUGUCUAGUGCCCUAUGCCUCUCUGUGUCAGUGUCUGUAAACCCGCCCUGUACCUGCACUCGCGAGUGCCUCUGUGGCUGUGCCCAUGUGCUGGUCCAUUUCUGGGUGUGCACGUCUCCCUAGGAGGGUGUUGGUAUCUACUUCCGAAUGCAGGCAUGGCUGUAUCAAGGUGAGCAGGAUGGACUCUUCUCUGUGACUGCCAUAGCUCCCUUUUGUCCUCUCCAUUUUUCUCUCCUCUCCUCCUUCCUUUCCUUGCAAUUCACUCGAAGGGACCUGGCUGGCCCAGGCUGCUGUGGAGGUGACAGAUGAGUCUUAGAAGCCACUUCGGCCUCUAGAGAGGGGCUCCCUAUGUCCAUCUCCCAUGUGGGCUCAGCCCCAGAGCCACACAGGCAUCGGGCUUUUUAAAAUGGAAGUUGUUGCCCGCUCCCCCCCCCACCCGGUUCCUUAUUAAUCAUCGGCCCCAGCAGCAGUGAGAGCGACAA
Molecule: long non-coding RNA, 6120 nt
Organism: Acinonyx jubatus (cheetah)
Lineage: Eukaryota; Metazoa; Chordata; Mammalia; Carnivora; Felidae
Exons: 4
Source: RefSeq, a predicted model, not a curated record